Molecule: ribosomal RNA, 750 nt
Filed under: uncultured Actinomyces sp.
Lineage: Bacteria; Bacillati; Actinomycetota; Actinomycetes; Actinomycetales; Actinomycetaceae
Description: bacterial SSU rRNA
Rfam family: Bacterial small subunit ribosomal RNA
Source: RNAcentral
GACGAACGCUGGCGGCGUGCUUAACACAUGCAAGUCGAACGCUGAAGCCCAGCUUGCUGGGUGGAUGAGUGGCGAACGGGUGAGUAACACGUGAGUAACCUGCCCCCUUCUUUGGGAUAACGCCCGGAAACGGGUGCUAAUACUGGAUAUUCACUUGCCUUCGCAUGGGGGUUGGUGGAAAGGUUUUUCUGGUGGGGGAUGGGCUCGCGGCCUAUCAGCUUGUUGGUGGGGUGAUGGCCUACCAAGGCUUUGACGGGUAGCCGGCCUGAGAGGGUGACCGGUCACAUUGGGACUGAGAUACGGCCCAGACUCCUACGGGAGGCAGCAGUGGGGAAUAUUGCACAAUGGGCGAAAGCCUGAUGCAGCGACGCCGCGUGAGGGAUGGAGGCCUUCGGGUUGUAAACCUCUUUCGCUCAUGGUCAAGCCGCAGCUUUGGGUUGUGGUGAGGGUAGCGGGUAAAGAAGCGCCGGCUAACUACGUGCCAGCAGCCGCGGUAAUACGUAGGGCGCGAGCGUUGUCCGGAAUUAUUGGGCGUAAAGGGCUUGUAGGCGGUUGGUCGCGUCUGCCGUGAAAUCCUCUGGCUUAACUGGGGGCGUGCGGUGGGUACGGGCUGACUUGAGUGCGGUAGGGGAGACUGGAACUCCUGGUGUAGCGGUGGAAUGCGCAGAUAUCAGGAAGAACACCGGUGGCGAAGGCGGGUCUCUGGGCCGUUACUGACGCUGAGGAGCGAAAGCGUGGGGAGCGAACAGG